Molecule: ribosomal RNA, 324 nt
Filed under: uncultured eukaryote
Lineage: Eukaryota
Description: partial 18S ribosomal RNA
Rfam family: Eukaryotic small subunit ribosomal RNA
Source: RNAcentral
CCCUUAGAUGUUCUGGGCCGCACGCGCGCUACACUGAUGCAUUCAACGAGUUUCUUCCUGGUCCGAGAGGAAUGGGUAACCUUUUGAAAGUGCAUCGUGAUAGGGAUAGACUAUUGCAAUUAUUGGUCUUCUACGAGGAAUUCCUAGUAGACGUAGUUCAUCAGACUGCAUCGAUUACGUCCCUGCCCUUUGUACACACCGCCCGUCGCUCCUACCGAUUGAAUGCUCAGGUGAGCCAUUCGGACUUUCAUCAUGCUGGUUUCCAGUUUUGAUGAAGGAAAGUCUUGCGAACCUUAUCAUUUAGAGGAAGGAGAAGUCGUAACA